GAUAACUUCUUUCACCAAAAUCAAAAACCCAAAACUUCUCUCUUAGUUUUUAAUCUACCCUAACCGAAACCCAUCUUCGAACCUUUAAUGACUUUUGUUCGACAAAAAAAAUCAUCAUCAACAACAACGAUGGCAACAAAAUCCUUCCCAUUAAAAAGCCAUAAAAGAAACCCAUUAAUGAAUUUGAUUCCCAGUCAAAUCUUUAACCCGGUUUGGAAUCUGACUUCAGACUAAUGCCCAGUGUGUCGUAAUCUGAAUUACCCAUAAAGUGUUUCCGGAUUCAAAUCAUUUACAAUUUUCGAUCUAAUGCAGGAAAUCAGAGCUAAUCCGAUUGUACCUAUAGAAUUCCAGCAUGCGUUUUGGUUCGUUUGAAGGAUUUGGAUGUUUAGGUAUCCAUCAGCAUCUGAAAUAAUCACCAGUUUGGGUAGUUAUCGUGGUGAAAAAGAUGGGGUUCUGCUUUGAACUACGAAAUCUGCGUGUUUACAAACUACUAAGACAUAAUGGAACGUUCGGGUGCUCCAAAUAAUGCUGGAUCUGCGUUGGGGAAACGGAAUAUCCGUGGACGGUCACGCGGCAUAGAUCUGGAUGAUUGGAUUGCCCAACAUGAAAAAUAUUUAUGCUUUUCUUUGUUGAUAGUAUUGUGAAUUGGCUCAGAGAUGAGAUGAAUUUGCAUCCAGAAUGCAUCCCAAGUUUUCUUGAGCUGCUGACAGUCUUACCACAGGAAGCUUUAAGCCACAAGAUAGCUGCUCGUCCAGAAAGGCGGCAUCAGUUUGAGAAGGAACUUAUUUCUGCAGCUGAGGUUGCUUUUAAUGUCUUGACUACUUGUUUGAGUCUAAAUGAACUAAAUCUUCAUACUU
Molecule: long non-coding RNA, 857 nt
Organism: Papaver somniferum (opium poppy)
Lineage: Eukaryota; Viridiplantae; Streptophyta; Magnoliopsida; Ranunculales; Papaveraceae
Exons: 6
Source: RefSeq, a predicted model, not a curated record